AGUUGUGCCCACGCACCCAACUGUUCCAGUAACAUAAAAGCAACAGCAGUUGGAGAUACUUAAGGCAGCCAUGGUAUUGACAGAAAAAGACUCUGGAUUUGGAUUGCAGCUGUAGCAUUUAUUAAAUGCACGUCACAACCUCUCUGAGCUUCGUUUUCCCCACGUUUCAAAUGGGAUGCAGUGGACCCUGUUGCCUACCCGGUAACUUUUUACCUUCUUUAUCCUUUUUUACAAAACCUCAAUGUCAUUCAGGAAUCCUCCUUGUUCAGUGAGGCCACAUGCUUCAAAGGAAGCAGGCUGUAGUCUUGGCCUCACGAGCCAGAGAACUGGAGUCUAUGCCCUAAUUCUCAAAUUUACAAGAAAUGAUUCGCCUAAGUUAAGUAUGAUGGUCCCACUCCCUUUGGUAGUGAUUGGUUACUCAUGGGUGUGUAAUUUAAUUCUGGCCAGUGCUCUGGGAGGGGAAGGCUUUGGAAGCCUUCUGGGAAAGAUUUGGAUGAUAAAGAGAGAUGUAUUGAGAUAAAAACUCUACUUUUUCUAUUACACCUUAUAAUAUCUGCAAAUGAAUUCCAGAACUCCAGCAGCCGUCUU
This 588-nucleotide long non-coding RNA is filed under the name Homo sapiens (human). RNAcentral describes it as "non-protein coding LINC01281:7". Lineage: Eukaryota; Metazoa; Chordata; Mammalia; Primates; Hominidae. The record is from RNAcentral.